AGAGUUUGAUCCUGGCUCAGAUUGAACGCUGGCGGCAUGCCUUACACAUGCAAGUCGAACGGCAGCACGGGAGCAAUCCUGGUGGCGAGUGGCGAACGGGUGAGUAAAGUAUCGGAACGUGCCCAGUCGUGGGGGAUAACGUAGCGAAAGCUACGCUAAUACCGCAUACGAUCUAUGGAUGAAAGCGGGGGAUCGCAAGACCUCGCGCGAUUGGAGCGGCCGAUAUCAGAUUAGGUAGUUGGUGGGGUAAAGGCCUACCAAGCCGACGAUCUGUAGCUGGUCUGAGAGGACGACCAGCCACACUGGGACUGAGACACAGCCCAGACUCCUACGGGAGGCAGCAGUGGGGAAUUUUGGACAAUGGGCGCAAGCCUGAUCCAGCAAUGCCGCGUGCAGGAUGAAGGCCUUCGGGUUGUAAACUGCUUUUGUACGGAGCGAAAAGGCUUCCACUAAUACUGGAGGCUCAUGACGGUACCGUAAGAAUAAGCACCGGCUAACUACGUGCCAGCAGCCGCGGUAAUACGUAGGGUGCAAGCGUUAAUCGGAAUUACUGGGCGUAAAGCGUGCGCAGGCGGUCUUGUAAGACAGGUGUGAAAUCCCCGGGCUUAAC
RNAcentral lists this ribosomal RNA (610 nucleotides) under uncultured bacterium. Its description in RNAcentral is "bacterial SSU rRNA". It matches the Rfam family "Bacterial small subunit ribosomal RNA", at positions 8 to 613 of the family's 1533-position model. The record is from RNAcentral.